AUCCAGCUGACAAGUCUUAAACAGAACGAAACGCGUCCUAGAU
Molecule: non-coding RNA, 43 nt
Filed under: Schistosoma curassoni
Lineage: Eukaryota; Metazoa; Platyhelminthes; Trematoda; Strigeidida; Schistosomatidae
Source: RNAcentral